UACGUAGGGUCCGAGCGUUGUCCGGAAUUACUGGGCGUAAAGAGCUCGUAGGUGGUUUGUCGCGUUGUUCGUGAAAACUCACAGCUUAACUGUGGGCGUGCGGGCGAUACGGGCAGACUUGAGUACUGCAGGGGAGACUGGAAUUCCUGGUGUAGCGGUGAAAUGCGCAGAUAUCAGGAGGAACACCGGUGGCGAAGGCGGGUCUCUGGGCCGAUACUGACACUGAGGAGCGAAAGCGUGGGGAGCGAACAGG
This 253-nucleotide ribosomal RNA is filed under the name uncultured bacterium. Its description in RNAcentral is "partial 16S ribosomal RNA". It matches the Rfam family "Bacterial small subunit ribosomal RNA", at positions 524 to 776 of the family's 1533-position model. The record is from RNAcentral.